AACGUAGGAGGCGAGCGUUAUCCGGAGUUACUGGGCGUAAAGCGCGCGUAGGCGGUUGGGCAAGUUGGGUGUGAAAGCUCCCGGCUAAACUGGGAGAGGCCAUUCAAGACUGCCUGGCUGGAGGUCGGUAGAGGGGCGCAGAAUUCGGGGUGUAGCGGUGAAAUGUGUAGAGAUCCCGAGGAAUACCAGUGGGGAAGCCGGCGCCCUGGGCCGAACCUGACGCUGAGGCGCGACAGCGUGGGGAGCGAACGGGAUUAGAUACCCCCGUAGUCC
RNAcentral lists this ribosomal RNA (273 nucleotides) under uncultured bacterium. RNAcentral describes it as "partial 16S ribosomal RNA". It matches the Rfam family "Bacterial small subunit ribosomal RNA", at positions 524 to 796 of the family's 1533-position model. The record is from RNAcentral.